This 1251-nucleotide long non-coding RNA is filed under the name Canis lupus familiaris (dog). Its description in RNAcentral is "lncRNA (ENSCAFG00030009351.1)". The record is from RNAcentral. Lineage: Eukaryota; Metazoa; Chordata; Mammalia; Carnivora; Canidae.
AUGGGCACCCACCGUCCUGGGACACCAGCUCCCCUCCCGCACCUGCCGUUCACCCAUGGGUCUUUCCUGCGUCACAGACCUUCCCUCCCUGAGUCCUUCAAGAUUUGUCUAGAUGACAAUGUCCCAGCGCCCCUCAUCCUUGGGGGACAGCUGUUUCCUAGGGGCCCAGCCCCAGACGGUCGGGGUGUCCUCGCCGGGUUGUGGCCAUGCCGCGUGGCUGGUCCCUAUGUCCACUCUGCUGGGAUGUCCAUGUUGUCCCCCAGCAACAGGGAAGGCCAGGCGGUCUGUCCCCCCAAGCAUGUCUCCCUGUCUCCCACGCUCGCCCUGUCCCCCCUGCCGGGCCGUGGUCUGUCCGGAGCCCAGAACCUCUGCCUGUCCUCAGACCCCGCUCUCGGGCCGCUCUGUGCUCUGCUUCCCUCCGUUUGUCCCUCUGCUACUUCCUUCUUGCUGAACCUGUCCUCAAGGCGCCUAUGGCUCCACAUGUUGUACGUGAGCCCCGUGAGCCCUGUGGGCACCAUCCCUCUUGCCCCCCCACCCCGGGUGCAGGAAACAGUGUGCGCUAGGUUACCCAAUGCGCAGUUGUGCCUGUGCGGUUGGUUGUUGGACAGCUCCCGCGUGCCCUCACUACGGAGUGCCUGGAGGUGUUUGGGGCAUGGCGGGAAUCCUGAAGCCCAGGAUGUCGGUGGCCCCUUCCUGGGGGAACUGGCGCUUGUGCCAUUUGCGUCUGCAGGAGCCAGUGUCUCCACGGACAUGAGGCGGGUCUUCCCAGGGCCCCAUAGUCACACAGAGGAGCAGAUACAGGGCCCAGAGACACCAGAUACAGUAACUGGUGAAAGCCAGAGCGAAGGGUCUGGAUUCAAGUCCAGAAGCUGCCAGCAGCCUCAGCAAGUGCUCACGGGAUGUGCCUCGCUCGCACCUGUUCUGAAAGUCAUUGUGGCCGCCGCCGGGAGAAGGUGGCUGGCAGGACAGGAAGCCACAGCCAGGAAAAGACACAAGGACACCUGGACCCACGCCCCCCGUCUUUCUCCUGCGGAGAGGUGUCUGUGCAGGGCGGGAAUCCAAGUGCCUCUUUGUAAAGUGCAGACGCCCUGGCUCUGCCCUCCUCACCUCCUGCCCCACCUGUGCCCGGGAACCAGCGGGGCCCGGUCCCUGAGCACCCGUGUCCUUGGAGAGGCCCUCACCACCAGGACCCAGGACAUGAGUGGGCACGUGCUGUUCACAAAAGUAGAGAUUAAGGACUUAAUUCUAUAA